UACGUAGGGGGCAAGCGUUAUCCGGAUUUACUGGGUGUAAAGGGAGCGUAGACGGUUUGUCAAGUCUGAAGUGAAAGCCCGGGGCUCAACCCCGGAACUGCUUUGGAAACUGAUGUACUAGAGUGCAGGAGAGGUAAGUGGAAUUCCUAGUGUAGCGGUGAAAUGCGUAGAUAUUAGGAGGAACACCAGUGGCGAAGGCGGCUUACUGGACUGUAACUGACGUUGAGGCUCGAAGGCGUGGGGAG
RNAcentral lists this ribosomal RNA (245 nucleotides) under uncultured Hungatella sp. RNAcentral describes it as "partial 16S ribosomal RNA". It matches the Rfam family "Bacterial small subunit ribosomal RNA", at positions 524 to 768 of the family's 1533-position model. Lineage: Bacteria; Bacillati; Bacillota; Clostridia; Lachnospirales; Lachnospiraceae. The record is from RNAcentral.